UCAAAUGUCUUCACUAUUUCAUAAAGCUCAAGAAAUCUAAUUACAACCCUUCACUGUUGCAGGCCAUAAUAUGAACAUGAACCUGAACCAACGGGAACCAACAACUAAAUGAGCCUGUAUCCUAGACUAACAACCUGUGCAAUACACUUUUAACAACUUGAAGCACACUAUAUAACGUAUAACACAACAUGUUCCAUAGGACAUA
RNAcentral lists this long non-coding RNA (205 nucleotides) under Elaeis guineensis (African oil palm). Its description in RNAcentral is "long non-coding RNA (EGUI_LNC021445)". The record is from RNAcentral. Lineage: Eukaryota; Viridiplantae; Streptophyta; Magnoliopsida; Arecales; Arecaceae.